UACGAGAGGAAGGUGGGAUGACGUCAAAUCAGCACGGCCCUUAUGUCCAGGGCUACACACGUGUUACAAUGGCCGGUACAGAGGGCAGCUACCUGGAGACAGGAUGCGAAUCUCGAAAGCCGGUCUCAGUUCGGAUCGGAGUCUGCAACUCGACUCCGUGAAGCUGGAUUCGCUAGUAAUCGCGCAUCAGCCAUGGCGCGGUGAAUACGUUCCCGGGCCUU
Molecule: ribosomal RNA, 221 nt
Filed under: uncultured Sphingobacteriales bacterium
Lineage: Bacteria; Pseudomonadati; Bacteroidota; Sphingobacteriia; Sphingobacteriales
Description: partial 16S ribosomal RNA
Rfam family: Bacterial small subunit ribosomal RNA
Source: RNAcentral